RNAcentral lists this ribosomal RNA (492 nucleotides) under uncultured bacterium. RNAcentral's name for it is "partial 16S ribosomal RNA". It matches the Rfam family "Bacterial small subunit ribosomal RNA", at positions 29 to 507 of the family's 1533-position model. The record is from RNAcentral.
AGUGAACGCUGGCGGUAGGCCUAACACAUGCAAGUCGAACGGCAGCACAGUAAGAGCUUGCUCUUACGGGUGGCGAGUGGCGGGCGGGUGAGGAAUACAUCGGAAUCUACUUUUUCGUGGGGGAUAACGUAGGGAAACUUACGCUAAUACCGCAUACGACCUACGGGUGAAAGCAGGGGAUCUUCGGACCUUGCGCGAUUGAAUGAGCCGAUGUCGGAUUAGCUAGUUGGCGGGGUAAAGGCCCACCAAGGCGACGAUCCGUAGCUGGUCUGAGAGGAUGAUCGGCCACACUGGAACUGAGACACGGUCCAGACUCCUACGGGAGGCAGCAGUGGGGAAUAUUGGACAAUGGGCGCAAGCCUGAUCCAGCCAUACCGCGUGGGUGAAGAAGGCCUUCGGGUUGUAAAGCCCUUUUGUUGGGAAAGAAAAGCAGCAGGUUAAUACCCCGCUGUUCUGACGGUACCCAAAGAAUAAGCACCGGCUAACUUCGUG